UGGGGAAUAUUGGGCAAUGGGCGCAAGCCUGACCCAGCAACGCCGCGUGAAGGAAGAAGGCUUUCGGGUUGUAAACUUCUUUUCUGAGGGACGAUAGUGACGGUACCUCAGGAAUAAGCCACGGCUAACUACGUGCCAGCAGCCGCGGUAAUACGUAGGUGGCAAGCGUUAUCCGGAUUUACUGGGUGUAAAGGGCGUGUAGGCGGGAUGGUAAGUCAGAUGUGAAAACUAUGGGCUCAACCCAUAGCCUGCAUUUGAAACUAUCGUUCUUGAGUGUUGGAGAGGCAGGCGGAAUUCCGUGUGUAGCGGUGAAAUGCAUAGAUAUACGGAGGAACACCAGUGGCGAAGGCGGCCUGCUGGACAAUAACUGACGCUGAGGCGCGAAAGCGUGGGGAGCAAACAGGAUUAGAUACC
This 414-nucleotide ribosomal RNA is filed under the name uncultured bacterium. RNAcentral's name for it is "bacterial SSU rRNA". It matches the Rfam family "Bacterial small subunit ribosomal RNA", at positions 355 to 786 of the family's 1533-position model. The record is from RNAcentral.